CCUACGGGUGGCAGCAGUAGGGAAUAUUGCUCAAUGGGGGAAACCCUGAAGCAGCAACGCCGCGUGGAGGAUGAAGGUUUUCGGAUUGUAAACUCCUUUUGUUAGAGAAGAGAAUGACGGUAUCUAACGAAUAAGCACCGGCUAACGCCGUGCCAGCAGCCGCGGUAAUACGGAGGGUGCAAGCGUUACUCGGAAUCACUGGGCGUAAAGAGCGCGUAGGCGGGAUCGCAAGUCAGAUGUGAAAUCCUAUGGCUUAACCAUAGAACUGCAUUUGAAACUGUUAUUCUAGAGUAUGGGAGAGGUAGGUGGUAUUCUUUGUGUAGUGGUCAAAUCCGUAGAGAUCACGAGGAAUACUCAUUGCGACGGCGCCCUGCUAGAACAUAACUGACGCUGAUGCGCGAAAGCGUGGGGAGCAAACAGGAUUAGCUACCCGUGUAGUC
RNAcentral lists this ribosomal RNA (440 nucleotides) under uncultured bacterium. Its description in RNAcentral is "partial 16S ribosomal RNA". It matches the Rfam family "Bacterial small subunit ribosomal RNA", at positions 338 to 795 of the family's 1533-position model. The record is from RNAcentral.